AUACGUAGGGGGCGAGCGUUGUCCGGAAUGAUUGGGCGUAAAGGGCGCGUAGGCGGCGCGGUAAGUCUGGAGUGAAAGUCCUGCUUUCAAGGUGGGAAUUGCUUUGGAUACUGCCGCGCUUGAGUGCAGGAGAGGUUAUCGGAAUUCCCGGUGUAGCGGUGAAAUGCGUAGAGAUCGGGAGGAACACCAGUGGCGAAGGCGGGUAACUGGACUGCAACUGACGCUGAGGCGCGAAAGUGUGGGGAACAAACGGGAUUAGAUACCCUGGUAGUCCACACUGUAAACGAUGAAUGCUAGGUGUAAGAGGUAUCGACCCCUUUUGUGCCGGAGUCAACACAAUAAGCAUUCCGCCUGGGGAGUACGGCCGCAAGGUUGAAACUCAAAUGAAUUGACGGGG
This 397-nucleotide ribosomal RNA is filed under the name uncultured bacterium. RNAcentral describes it as "partial 16S ribosomal RNA". It matches the Rfam family "Bacterial small subunit ribosomal RNA", at positions 523 to 918 of the family's 1533-position model. The record is from RNAcentral.